UUAUUUGAGAGUUUGAUCCUGGCUCAGGAUGAACGCUGGCGGCGUGCCUAACACAUGCAAGUUGAGCGAUUUACUUCGGUAAAGAGCGGCGGACGGGUGAGUAACGCGUGGGUAACCUACCCUGUACACACGGAUAACAUACCGAAAGGUAUGCUAAUACGGGAUAAUAUAUUUGAGAGGCAUCUCUUAAAUAUCAAAGGUGAGCCAGUACAGGAUGGACCCGCGUCUGAUUAGCUAGUUGGUAAGGUAACGGCUUACCAAGGCGACG
RNAcentral lists this ribosomal RNA (268 nucleotides) under Clostridioides difficile. RNAcentral describes it as "partial 16S ribosomal RNA". It matches the Rfam family "Bacterial small subunit ribosomal RNA", at positions 1 to 278 of the family's 1533-position model. The record is from RNAcentral. Lineage: Bacteria; Bacillati; Bacillota; Clostridia; Peptostreptococcales; Peptostreptococcaceae.